Molecule: non-coding RNA, 77 nt
Filed under: Pantoea ananatis
Lineage: Bacteria; Pseudomonadati; Pseudomonadota; Gammaproteobacteria; Enterobacterales; Erwiniaceae
Also listed under: 1 other name
Description: Fluoride sequence
Rfam family: Fluoride riboswitch aptamer (crcB RNA motif)
Source: RNAcentral
CGCGCAUAAGGUGAUGGCGUUCCACCUUUCCCAACCGCCUGCAGGCGUAACCUGCGGCUGAUGACGCCUGACAUUAU